RNAcentral lists this ribosomal RNA (703 nucleotides) under Escherichia coli. RNAcentral describes it as "bacterial LSU rRNA". It matches the Rfam family "Bacterial large subunit ribosomal RNA", at positions 2240 to 2925 of the family's 2925-position model. Lineage: Bacteria; Pseudomonadati; Pseudomonadota; Gammaproteobacteria; Enterobacterales; Enterobacteriaceae. The record is from RNAcentral.
CGGGGUUGCGGACAGUGUCUGGUGGGUAGUUUGACUGGGGCGGUCUCCUCCUAAAGAGUAACGGAGGAGCACGAAGGUUGGCUAAUCCUGGUCGGACAUCAGGAGGUUAGUGCAAUGGCAUAAGCCAGCUUGACUGCGAGCGUGACGGCGCGAGCAGGUGCGAAAGCAGGUCAUAGUGAUCCGGUGGUUCUGAAUGGAAGGGCCAUCGCUCAACGGAUAAAAGGUACUCCGGGGAUAACAGGCUGAUACCGCCCAAGAGUUCAUAUCGACGGCGGUGUUUGGCACCUCGAUGUCGGCUCAUCACAUCCUGGGGCUGAAGUAGGUCCCAAGGGUAUGGCUGUUCGCCAUUUAAAGUGGUACGCGAGCUGGGUUUAGAACGUCGUGAGACAGUUCGGUCCCUAUCUGCCGUGGGCGCUGGAGAACUGAGGGGGGCUGCUCCUAGUACGAGAGGACCGGAGUGGACGCAUCACUGGUGUUCGGGUUGUCAUGCCAAUGGCACUGCCCGGUAGCUAAAUGCGGAAGAGAUAAGUGCUGAAAGCAUCUAAGCACGAAACUUGCCCCGAGAUGAGUUCUCCCUGACUCCUUGAGAGUCCUGAAGGAACGUUGAAGACGACGACGUUGAUAGGCCGGGUGUGUAAGCGCAGCGAUGCGUUGAGCUAACCGGUACUAAUGAACCGUGAGGCUUAACCUUACAACGCCGAAG